Molecule: ribosomal RNA, 447 nt
Filed under: uncultured bacterium
Lineage: Bacteria
Description: bacterial SSU rRNA
Rfam family: Bacterial small subunit ribosomal RNA
Source: RNAcentral
UGGGGAAUCUUGGACAAUGGGCGCAAGCCUGAUCCAGCCAUGCCGCGUGGAUGAUGAAGGCCUUAGGGUUGUAAAAUCCUUUCGUGGGGGACGAUAAUGACGGUACCCCAAGAAGAAGCUCCGGCUAACUUCGUGCCAGCAGCCGCGGUAAUACGAAGGGGGCUAGCGUUGUUCGGAUUUACUGGGCGUAAAGCGCGUGUAGGCGGGUCGUUAAGUUGGGGGUGAAAUCCCGAGGCUCAACCUCGGAACUGCCUUCAAAACUGGCGACCUGGACCCAAGUAGAGGCAAGUGGAAUUGCGAGUGUAGAGGUGAAAUUCGUAGAUAUUCGCACGAACACCAGUGGCGAAGGCGACUUGCUGGACUUGUGGUGACGCUGAGACGCGAAAGCGUGGGGAGCAAACAGGAUUAGAUACCCUUGUAGUCCCUGAGCGGGCUGGCAAGGCGCAU